UACGUAGGGGGCAAGCGUUGUCCGGAUUUACUGGGCGUAAAGAGCGUGUAGGCGGUCAGGUAGGUCCGUUGUGAAAACUCGAGGCUCAACCUCGAGACGCCGAUGGAAACCAUCUGACUAGAGUCCGGAAGAGGAGAGUGGAAUUCCUGGUGUAGCGGUGAAAUGCGCAGAUAUCAGGAAGAACACCCGUGGCUAAGGCGGCUCUCUGGUACGGUACUGACGCUGAGACGCGAAAGCGUGGGGAGCGAACAGG
This 253-nucleotide ribosomal RNA is filed under the name uncultured bacterium. Its description in RNAcentral is "partial 16S ribosomal RNA". It matches the Rfam family "Bacterial small subunit ribosomal RNA", at positions 524 to 776 of the family's 1533-position model. The record is from RNAcentral.